CGACAUUCACACAUUUGCGGCAGGUAAUUCCGUGAGCGAACAUGGACCUGCACCACACUGGAAGGUCACACAAGAGUAGGUGGCGCUGUUGUCUAAGCAGAAUUGAGCUGCAUGCGUAUGUUCAUGUAGGUUUUAGACUGCUCUCAGACGUUUUGAGCAAUCCAUUUGUUGGAGAUUUGAUAAUCAGAUGUGCAGUAGCACUUGCGUUGUUUGUGUUGUAUGCAGCCAAGUCACGUGACGAUGCAGAUGCAUCUCACGGUCAUUACAUAGGAGGCGUUGUCAUCGCUAUUGAAAACGUUCUUACUGUACAAUAUACUGGCAAUAUAUUUAUAGGAUUGGCUUUUGUUUCAUUUGCACAGGUAGCCAUGUCGUGUUUACAAUACAAAAAUCGAAUACCACACCUAAACCCAGAUAACAUUUCUAGACGUGUUGCACACGAAUUGCUUGAUGAGAACAAUAACAGACUGGUGCGAAAUCAGCGAUGGUGCGGCAGAUGAUACACCCUAUACUACUCACGUCCACAUAAACUUACAGCCACUUGCCUAUAACAACACACUUGCCUCUAGCGUGGAUCCACCCACUCAAUCACUUAGCUGAAUUUUAUUGCAUUCAAAUUAACUAUUUUUAUUAUAUUUUGUGACUAACGACUUAAAGCUUGAGAAACAAAAUAAAUAUAACUUGAUAAAUCAUAUGUGCUAUUAUAUCGUUUAGCUUAAAAUCCUGAAAAACAAUUUUAUAAAAAAUCUGCAUCACAGAUUAUUAUGUACCUGCUUUCCAUAUCUUUAUCUACAAGAAUCUCUAUUGCUUAUAAACGUUGUCUCUAGCAAUGUAAUCGCCAAGUGUUCUCGAUUAUUGGAAUUUUUAAAAUACUUAUACAAGGACGGCGAAUAUAAAAUAACUAAAAUAAAUGGGGUGGUGCAUUUGUGAAAUUAGAUAUAUAAAUUAGGGGUAUGAAAUAGGUGCGUCGUCUUGGGUAAUGCAGGAUGAUUGUGUUUUAAAAUCAGAGCUUAGUAGACCAAAGGAAGAAUAAUACAAAUUAUCAUUACUACAAAAAUA
Long non-coding RNA from Physella acuta, 1056 nucleotides. RefSeq lists it as uncharacterized. The record is from RefSeq and is a predicted model, not a curated record. Lineage: Eukaryota; Metazoa; Mollusca; Gastropoda; Physidae.